CCUACGGGUGGCAGCAGUGAGGAAUAUUGGUCAAUGGACGAGAGUCUGAACCAGCCAAGUAGCGUGAAGGAUGACGGCCCUAUGGGUUGUAAACUUCUUUUAUAUGGGAAUAAAACGUUCCACGUGUGGGAUUUUGUAUGUACCAUAUGAAUAAGGAUCGGCUAACUCCGUGCCAGCAGCCGCGGUAAUACGGAGGAUCCGAGCGUUAUCCGGAUUUAUUGGGUUUAAAGGGAGCGUAGGUGGAUUGUUAAGUGAGUUGUGAAAGGUUGCGGCUCAACCGUGAAACUGCAGUGGAAACUGGCAGUCUUGAGUACAGUAGAGGUGGGCGGAAUUCGUGGUGUAGCGGUGAAAUGCUUAGAUAUCACGAAGAACUCCGAUUGCGAAGGCAGUUCACCGGAGUGCAACUGACACUGAGGCUCGAAAGUGUGGGUAUCAAACAGGAUUAGAUACCCUGGUAGUC
This 460-nucleotide ribosomal RNA is filed under the name uncultured bacterium. Its description in RNAcentral is "partial 16S ribosomal RNA". It matches the Rfam family "Bacterial small subunit ribosomal RNA", at positions 338 to 795 of the family's 1533-position model. The record is from RNAcentral.